UGGGGUGUAGCCAAGAGGUAAGGCAGCGGACUUUGGAUCCGCGACCGGAGGUUCGAAUCCUCCCACCCCAGCCA
Molecule: transfer RNA, 74 nt
Filed under: Caldisericota bacterium
Lineage: Bacteria; Pseudomonadati; Caldisericota
Also listed under: 2 other names
Description: Caldiserica bacterium tRNA-Gln
Rfam family: tRNA
About the family: Transfer RNA (tRNA) molecules are approximately 80 nucleotides in length. Their secondary structure includes four short double-helical elements and three loops (D, anti-codon, and T loops).
Source: RNAcentral